RNAcentral lists this long non-coding RNA (801 nucleotides) under Solanum tuberosum (potato). RNAcentral describes it as "long non-coding RNA (STUB_LNC002360)". The record is from RNAcentral. Lineage: Eukaryota; Viridiplantae; Streptophyta; Magnoliopsida; Solanales; Solanaceae.
AUGAUUUUUUUGUAACGGACGAACCCAAGGAUCAACCAAAGCCAAGAUCGAUUAUAUUGAUGAUGAGAACAUUGAGAAGACACAGCUUUUGGAUGAUCACAGAGUUUUCAAUUCUGUUGCACUGAACAGUUUUUGGAUGAUACUAUUGUCUUUAUGUGGUUCUACACAGUAAUAAGUAUUUUCAAACAAUUAGAGCCAGGUACCUUUUGUUAUUGAUGUUUAAUCCAUCUUGUUGGAUUAGUUUUACUGAUUAUAUUAUUUGAAUUGAAAUUAGCAACUGGCUGGGGACUUGAAGGUGGAUGAAGAACCUAUUAUUUUCCUGACAUUGAGAAAUUGUUGUCUGGCGAUAGUGGCAAGCUAAGUUUUCUUUGAGUCGGGUCCUUCAGAAACAAUUUCCCUGUCAUCACAUGGUAGUGAUAAGGUCUACCUUACCAUGGGAUUAUACUGGAUUUUUUGUUGUUUGUAAUCUAAAAUCACUAUCAAUGUCAACUAGGAGGAUAUCCUUCAUUUUUUUUCUUGUCCAAAUCUCAAGCAAGUCUGUGUUUAAGAUUCUAAUAACUGUUUACUACAUUUGAUAGUUGCUGAUCCACUUUCGAGUUUGAAGUCCAUGGGGAUAAUAUGUUGUUACGGUGUCAAGUUGAUGUUCCAAAUCUAGUGCCUUCUACAUACAUCAGACAUGUUAUUUAUCAAAGGCGUCUCCUUUGCUGUCUAGUUACAUCAGUGUUGGUUGGCUUCUGUUGUUUUUUGUUAACAAACCUCUUCAGAAGUUGAAUGAUUUUGAUCUUGUCUUGCAUUUGGUAG